UUUUAAAUUGAGAGUUUGAUCCUGGCUCAGGACGAACGCUGGCGGCGUGCCUAACACAUGCAAGUCGAGCGAUGAAGCCCUUCGGGGUGGAUUAGCGGCGGACGGGUGAGUAACACGUGGGUAACCUGCCUUAUAGAGGGGGAUAGCCUUCCGAAAGGAAGAUUAAUACCGCAUGAAAUGUUUUUAUCGCAUGGUAGAAACAUCAAAGGAGUAAUCCGCUAUAAGAUGGACCCGCGGCGCAUUAGCUAGUUGGUGAGGUAACGGCCCACCAAGGCGACGAUGCGUAGCCGACCUGAGAGGGUGAUCGGCCACAUUGGAACUGAGACACGGUCCAGACUCCUACGGGAGGCAGCAGUGGGGAAUAUUGCGCAAUGGGGGAAACCCUGACGCAGCAACGCCGCGUGAAUGAAGAAGGCCUUAGGGUUGUAAAGUUCUGUUUUCUGGGACGAUAAUGACGGUACCAGAGGAGGAAGCCACGGCUAACUACGUGCCAGCAGCCGCGGUAAUACGUAGGUGGCAAGC
This 522-nucleotide ribosomal RNA is filed under the name Clostridium sulfidigenes. RNAcentral's name for it is "bacterial SSU rRNA". It matches the Rfam family "Bacterial small subunit ribosomal RNA", at positions 1 to 539 of the family's 1533-position model. The record is from RNAcentral. Lineage: Bacteria; Bacillati; Bacillota; Clostridia; Eubacteriales; Clostridiaceae.